This is a small nuclear RNA of Echinops telfairi (small Madagascar hedgehog), 158 nucleotides long. RefSeq annotates it as U1 spliceosomal RNA. The transcript has a single exon. The record is from RefSeq and is a predicted model, not a curated record. Lineage: Eukaryota; Metazoa; Chordata; Mammalia; Afrosoricida; Tenrecidae.
AGUCUUGAGAAAAUGUGUGGCGAUCAUGAAGCUGGCUUUCCCGGGGGAAGGCUUAUCCAUUGGACUCCAGAUGUGCUGACCCCUGUGAUUUCCCCAAAUGUGGGAAACUCGACUGCAUAAUUUGUGGUAGUGGGGGACUGUGUUCACGCUCUCCCCUG